RNAcentral lists this long non-coding RNA (215 nucleotides) under Sorghum bicolor (sorghum). RNAcentral's name for it is "long non-coding RNA (SBIC_LNC018809)". The record is from RNAcentral. Lineage: Eukaryota; Viridiplantae; Streptophyta; Magnoliopsida; Poales; Poaceae.
UCACUUACAAUGCCCCGUCGCGUUUUAAGUCGUCUGCAAAGGAUUCAGCCCUCCGCCCGUUAGGAAGGGAGCUUCGAGCCGGCCGGAUACGGCGCGUCGACCGACCAGGCUGAGCCAAUGGCACGGGCCCCUGGGGCGCGAACGCCCUAAUGAGGGUCGGGGCGAGCGGCGGGCACAGGCGCCGGUUGCUAGCUUGGAUUCUGACUUAGAGGCGU